RNAcentral lists this unclassified non-coding RNA (202 nucleotides) under Hevea brasiliensis (rubber tree). Lineage: Eukaryota; Viridiplantae; Streptophyta; Magnoliopsida; Malpighiales; Euphorbiaceae. The record is from RNAcentral.
AUAAUGACUUUUUCUUGGUUCCCGUCAGUAUCUCAGAUCACCAGGGGCCUCUUACAUCUAGUUUCCCAGUGGAGAACAGGAUAAGUACCGUAACACUGAGGGCGCUGAAGGAGCAUCUUGAUAGGACGAAACACCUUCCGUUUGUGAAACGCAUAUCUGAUUUCCACCUACUGCUACAACUGGCUCAUUUUCUAGAUGUAAA